GGUGCGGGGGGGGCCAGAGGCCCCCUUUCCGGAGCCGAGGAAAAACGGGCUUGGCCCGAGCAAGAGGCGGCCGCCUCCGUAGCUGCCGGCCGACGAUUUCCUUCGGCGCCUGGGCCGUUACCGAGAACAGGCUCUGCUGAGCCUAUUGCCGGGCGAAAUCAUAAGCGUGGAGGGGUUGGGGAGCUUCCUGCGGGCCAAACGCGUCUUCUGGCGUUUUCACGUGCUCUGGGUAAAGCCCGAAGCGGGCUGCAGACCCGGGCAACGGCCAAGGGAUCUCCGCGCGCGGUCGUGAAAGGGAAAUCCUGCAGGCAAGUCUCGCGGCGGGGUAGCUGCAGGGAGCAGGUCGGGGCUCGGUGCUGUCAGCACAGCCACGGGGCAGCUGGAAACAGUGGUAAAAUAGCAGCGGUAGAUUAAAACGUGCGAAUGAAACGGCAAGUGGCAGAGCAGUCUCUAAUAACGAGGAAGAAGCAGAGCGGAGCAUGGAUCUCGCCGAGGUGCUGUGCCUGUGGCUCGGCUGUCUGCUGCUGCUGCGCGGCGGGGCNNNNNNNNNNNNNNNNNNNNNNNNNNNNNNNNNNNNNNNNNNNNNNNNNNNNNNNNNNNNNNNNNAGCCGCCUGCACCGCCGUAGGCAGCCCCGUGGCCGACGGCUGCCCCCAGUGCAUCUGCUACGACGAGGAUGAGCUGCCGGUGCCCGCAGGGGCCGUCACCGCCCGGGGCACCCAGAUUUGCACCUGCCCUCCGCAGGGAGGCCAGCUGCAGUGCAGCAGCAGCAAAAGCAAGGAAUGAAUACGCUUUCUGCACCCUUUGCGUUAUUCAAAGGCGGGAGGUUUUCUGCACCUUCGGGCAUCCUCACUGAGCAGCUUUAAAUGUUUCACACUGUCCUGUACAACUUGGUAAUGAUUGCGUACGUGCCACAGAGUGCUAGAGAGAUGCCGCUUCUUAUGUCAUUUAUAAGCCAGGUUAAAACAUUUAUAGCCGGGUGAUCUUUUCUGUUGUAAGGUUUGUUCCAUGGCAGUGGGCAGAGAGGUUAGAUUGAUAGCUGCUAGGAUGCAAACAAAACAAAUGCAGUUAUUAUUUAUUUGUAAGAUGAUUGUACUCUCGUAUGUGUGUUUAUAUAGGAUGUAGAUAGCACUACUUCAAGUCAACUUACCAGAUAAACUUUGCUCCAGGAUCCAGGCUUUAGCUUCUUAGAAAUCCACCAAAUUCCAAGUGAUGGGAGCAAAAUCUUGUACAGUUCGGUUUUUUUUUUCUUUCUUUCCCGCCUUCCAGGCUUUUUUUCUCCUCCUGGCUCCAGACGGACGUUGGGGGGCAGUUCAUCGUUCUUAGAAGGAGGCAAACCGCUCUAGUUUCUCCAUCUGUUGGAGUAAAGUUUUGAAAUGUGAUAUAAAGGAUGUAGCCUUCAAAGCCACCUCGAUGAAGCAGUUACCCAAGCCUGACCCUGUUAGGAGUCACUGCAGAGCCCUGGUGCGGUAGAAAUAUUGUGAGUUGUGUAUCUCCCCCUCACUUGUGCUCUCCUCUUACGAUUAGUGAUGCGACCAAGGAUACAGCAGAACUUCAUCUUCUGAAUGCUUUAAAAGUGUAUAUAUAUAUAUUCACAGGAAGACUGUAAUAAAAAACACAGCUUAAUCA
Molecule: long non-coding RNA, 1627 nt
Organism: Struthio camelus australis
Lineage: Eukaryota; Metazoa; Chordata; Aves; Struthioniformes; Struthionidae
Source: Ensembl